GGGCGGUUGGCUCAGCGGUUAGAGCACUUGAUUCACAUUCAAGGGGUCAGAGGUUCAAAUCCUCUACCGCCCA
RNAcentral lists this transfer RNA (73 nucleotides) under Chloroflexota bacterium. Its description in RNAcentral is "Chloroflexi bacterium (hot springs metagenome) tRNA-Val". It matches the Rfam family "tRNA". Rfam says of the family: Transfer RNA (tRNA) molecules are approximately 80 nucleotides in length. RNAcentral also lists the same sequence under 1 other name. The record is from RNAcentral. Lineage: Bacteria; Bacillati; Chloroflexota.